AUUGAACGCUGGCGGCAGGCCUAACACAUGCAAGUCGAACGGUAACAGGAAACAGCUUGCUGUUUCGCUGACGAGUGGCGGACGGGUGAGUAAUGUCUGGGAAACUGCCUGAUGGAGGGGGAUAACUACUGGAAACGGUAGCUAAUACCGCAUAACGUCGCAAGACCAAAGAGGGGGACCUUCGGGCCUCUUGCCAUCGGAUGUGCCCAGAUGGGAUUAGCUAGUAGGUGGGGUAACGGCUCACCUAGACGACGAUCCCUAGCUGGUCUGCGAGGAUGACAAGCCACACUGGAACUGAGACACGGGCCAGACUCCUACGGGAGACAGCAGUGGGGAAUAUUGCACAAUGGGCGCAAGCCUGAUGCAGCCAUGUCGCGUGUAUGAAGAAGGCCUUCGGGUUGUAAAGUACUUUCAGCGGGGAGGAAGGGAGUAAAGUUAAUACCUUUGCUCAUUGACGUUACCCGCAGAAGAAGCACCGGCUAACUCCGUGCCAGCCGCCGCCGUAA
This 506-nucleotide ribosomal RNA is filed under the name uncultured bacterium. RNAcentral's name for it is "partial 16S ribosomal RNA". It matches the Rfam family "Bacterial small subunit ribosomal RNA", at positions 30 to 523 of the family's 1533-position model. The record is from RNAcentral.